AAACGACCCCUCUGACCGAGGUAAAGCGGUCGCUGUGUUACCUCUUGUCGAGGCNNACGUUAAAGAUCGUUCCGCGUUGUGAGUCUAACMAYUUGUAAACUUUUACAACCGGCAGCGCUGGAUCCCUUGGCACGUCAUUCGAUGAAGACCGUUGCAAAUUGCGAUAAAGUGAUGUGAUGCGCAAGUCCACCACUUAUACGUGAAUCAUCGAGUUGUUGAACGCAUUGCACCGCGCCCUAAUCCGGCUGCGGUAUGCCCCUUUGAGCGUCAUUUAUUCCUUCGGGAGUCUUUCCUUGCGAAAGACCCGAGUUCGGAGUCCUCGGUCUUUGGAUCGUGUUCUCUUAGAUGCGUCGCGCCGAUCGCCUGAUGGGUACUCUAAUGCCUGAGCGUGGAGUCCCUCUGGAGUUGAGACGUGCUUGACCGGCCGUUGGGCUCGNGUCACCAAGUCCGCGUCCUUUGGGACGGCGGUACUACAACGCAUGACCUCAUUGGGGUAGGACAACCCGCUAGACUUAAGCAUAUUAAUCAGCGGAGGAAAAGAAACUAACAAGGAUUCCCCCNAG
This 563-nucleotide ribosomal RNA is filed under the name uncultured Tulasnellaceae. RNAcentral describes it as "eukaryotic LSU rRNA". The stretch from base 107 to 270 matches the Rfam family "5.8S ribosomal RNA". The record is from RNAcentral. Lineage: Eukaryota; Fungi; Basidiomycota; Agaricomycetes; Cantharellales; Tulasnellaceae.